This 468-nucleotide ribosomal RNA is filed under the name uncultured bacterium. RNAcentral's name for it is "partial 16S ribosomal RNA". It matches the Rfam family "Bacterial small subunit ribosomal RNA", at positions 28 to 507 of the family's 1533-position model. The record is from RNAcentral.
GACGAACGCUGGCGGCGUGCUUAACACAUGCAAGUCGAACGGUGAUGCUCCAGCUUGCUGGAGUGGAUCAGUGGCGAACGGGUGAGUAACACGUGAGCAACCUGCCCCAGACUCUGGAAUAAGCGCUGGAAACGGCGGCUAAUACUGGAUACGAAACUGGCCCGCAUGGGCAUGGUUUGGAAAGUUAUUCGGUUUGGGAUGGGCUCGCGGCCUAUCAGCUUGUUGGUGAGGUAAUGGCUCACCAAGGCGACGACGGGUAGCCGGCCUGAGAGGGCGACCGGCCACACUGGGACUGAGACACGGCCCAGACUACUACGGGAGGCAGCAGUGGGGAAUAUUGCACAAUGGGCGAAAGCCUGAUGCAGCGACGCCGCGUGAGGGAUGACGGCCUUCGGGUUGUAAACCUCUUUCAGCAGGGAAGAAGCGAAAGUGACGGUACCUGCAGAAGAAGCACCGGCUAACUACGUG